This 676-nucleotide long non-coding RNA is filed under the name Pogona vitticeps (central bearded dragon). RNAcentral describes it as "lncRNA (ENSPVIG00000005166.1)". Lineage: Eukaryota; Metazoa; Chordata; Lepidosauria; Squamata; Agamidae. The record is from RNAcentral.
CCUUUCCAGAAACCCCCAGUAUUACAUCCAGGUACAAGAACCAGAGAUGUGGAAUGACAAUGUUGUGGUGGCACUGUCACAAAACAGUGCAAAUUAUGGAGGCAUUGGUUUUUGGAUCGUCAAGGUUGAACCAGAGGGCAGAACUGUGCUAAACCGGACAGGCCUUAUGAGAACACGAGAUGUCUCCAAACAGUUUAAGUUGAUUCCUGGGACCUAUAUCAUUAUUCCAACCAUGUCACCUGAAGACCCUGAGUCUGAGUUCCUUCUGCGGAUAUUUCUCAAGAAACAGAAUCAGAACACUCUCAGAGGGAAAUAUGCUGAGCCCAGCCCAGUGAUGACAAAGGUAUGUGGAUGAGUAACAUCAUGAAAACAAUGAAAGUUCAUUUUAUCUGAAGCUAAGUACACCUGAACCUGCUCUUAUUAUUUUACCUAUUCCCUGAGAGAACAAGAUAAUGGGCAAGGUCAGACAAGCCACCAUUUUUUUCAUAGCUGUGUGGUAAAAGAAUGCCAACAGGGUUAGCAUGUCUUGUCUAUUUCUGAUACAGCAAAGGAGAGGCUACCUAUCUUAUUUCAUUCUAGACCCAAUGAAUGGGUUCCAGUAGUUUCUUACCACAUCCACUCUGGCCAGUCCAUUUUCUUUAAUAAAUAAAUAAGGAUGCACCGUGGUUACUCCGUG